GUUCAAUGAGCAGUGCCAUGUCUGUGCCCAGGAUUCGAACCAAUGAAACACUGGGCCGCCUGCAGCGGAGCGCGCGAACUUAACCACUCGGCCACGGGGCCAGCCCCCAAACCAGAACACUUUUGAGAGCGAAAAAAAGUGUCAUUAGUAAUUAUGGAGGGGAACAGUUAUCCUUUACAGGAGAUGAUGCUGGGGGGCAUGCUAAAGCUCUGAAGAGAUCCUGAGGUCCUUCAGAGUGGAUCUGUUUUAUUGCCCAGGGCAAUGGCAGCCACUGAAGAACAGGGCAGACUGGUGACCAGAUCAGAUCUAGGUUUUACAGUUCUCUCUCCUCUCUUGACUUCAGAACAUUAUCCUAAAUGAAGUCCGCCAAGUUUAGAGAAUAGACCAUGUUUCUACAAUUCAUUUGAGGAUGUCAUUCAGCUUUAAUCUUUAUAAGAUCCUAACGUAAUGCUAAAAGUGCACUUAGCUAUUAAAAUCAGACGUAAAGGUGGCAGUCCGAGGAGUCCACAGUGCAAAUACCUGGUUCUAGAAUAACAUCAUUUAUAUAACAAUAUCAACAUUCAUUCAUUCAUUAUGUAUUAAACACCUAAUAUUUACUGUUUACUCCUUUAGGUACUGGGGAAACAGUGAAUGAGGCAGGCGAGGUUCCUGUCUUUUUGGAGCUCACACUCUAGCAGAAGAGAUGACAAUAAUUAAAUAAAUACGUAAGAAAAUUUCAGGUAUUGACAAAUGUUGAGGGAAAAAUCCAAUCAAGAUAAGGGGUUAGGAGGUUGGAGAGUGACUAGUAGUCGGGAGAUGGUAUUUUAAUUAAUUUGGAUAGAGAUAACCUCCUGGAAGGAGUAGGCAUUGAAUGCAGUGAGGGAGUGAGCCAUGUGCCGGGCUGAGGUUUGAAUGUUUCAAACAGAAGAAACAGGAAGUGCAAAGGUCCCGAGGUAGGAACAAGCUUGGUGAGUUGGAAGAACAGAAAGAACCUCAAAUCCUUUCUGAUCAAGCCACUCCUAACUCCAGAGCACGGCCUACAAUGCUUCACAUGAUCUGGCCUUUACCUACCUAUCCUACCUGUUAUAUAAGUCCUACAGGUUGGGAGGGAACUAUGGUCUGCAAGUGGGGUGUCCUCAAGGGGGUGAGGGAAUCCUGGUACCUCUCCUUCCUUAACCUUAUUCGCCUAACUCUCUUACUCCAACAGCAUUGUUUCAAGAGAAAGGAGGGAAGUUUAACACAUAUUGAACAUCUACAGGUAUCCUGGCAGAGUGCUUUACGAAUGCCAUUUUAUUUAAGCCUUAUGAGACUGGCAAUAUUGUCACCACUUUGCAGGUGAAGAAACAGACUCAAAAAGGUUAAAUAACUUUUCCAUGGUUAUACUCCAUUAAAAGAUAGUUUCAGGUCUUUCAUCACAAAAUGUCUUUCAAUGUCCUGAAACCAUAAGUCCUAUCACCUAGGAUAUGCCAAUAGCACUUUCUACCUAAAAGUCAGUCCCUAACAGCAACUGUAAGACACGAUUUGUAGAAAACUACCUUAUCUAUUUUCCAUGAGGAAACCUCAAAGACCAGGAUAUAAACCUUGUAUAUAGUGUAGUACCCAAAAAAAUAAGAAGAAAAGAAAGCUCACAAUAAAUAAGAAAACCAGGAUUAUAAUUCUGAUGCUGCAACUUAUUAGGCCUAGGAGCUUGGCAUGCCUCUUAGUGCCUAUGAGUCAAGUUUCCUGAUCUGCAAACUGGGUGUUAUUUAUUUAUUUUUUUUGAGGAAGGUUAGCCCUGAGCUAACGUCUGCCGCCAAUCCUCCUCUUCUCACUGAGGAAGGCUGACCCUGAGCUAACAUCCAUGCCCAUCUUCCUCUACUUUAUAUGUGGGACGCCUACCACAGCAUGACGUACUAAGCAGUGCCAUGUCUGCACCCAGGAUCCGAACCGGCGAAUCCCAGGCCGUCAAAGCGGAACGUGCGCACUUAACCGCUGCGCCACCGGCCGGCCCAGGGUGUUAGAAUUUAAGUCUAGCUCAUGUACGCGUGAAAGUGCUUUGAAAAGAGAAACGAUAUACACAUAAAAGAAAUUAUUAAGUUUCUUUAUUGUAAACGUAUUUGCCAAUAGCAAAAUGCCCUAGUGAAUGAUGGGUUCAGUUUCUGAGGUUUGGAAUAUUCAAACACACACAACUAUUGGAGUGAUAAAUAAUUGGAGACUUCUCUCCGUUGGUUAAACAGAGUACUUUUGCCCUUCCGUCUUUUUCAUCCUUGAACUUUAAAGACUAUCCAGAGGGGAUAAGGAGAUGUUUACGCUACUGCCAAGUGAGAUAAACUAUGGGCGUUUCUUCUUUUUAGGCACUAAAAAAAGAACAAUUAUUUCUAGAAACUGAAAAAAAGAGAGAAGGAAAGGAAGGAAGAAUGGACGGCAGUUGCCUGGUUCGUGGUAUCAAGAUCUGUGCAGUCCAGAGGAAACGACACGUGAGCCUCCAUCCGGAUUCUGUGACUCACGUGCUUGUGACCACCAACUUCUGGUCACCCACCAAGUUUCAAAUAAUUUCCUAGAGCAGUUUAAAUAUUUAUUUGUGUGUGUGUGUCUGUGCUUUUUUGUAAUACUUGGAUAAGGAAUAAUAGCAAUAAUGGAAACCUAAAAAUAAUUGAUGUGAUGGGGUACUGGACUGAUGAACAGACUUGUCUCUAAUUUCCUUUAUUCUUGUUACGAUAAUUGUGCAACAAAUGAAAAUAGUAAGGAAAACAGGUGACAGUGGAGAGUGGUGAAUGAGGAGGGAGGAGAGGGCAUGAGCCCGUUUUAGGAACAAGCAGUUCUCUAUAUGGCGGGCUCUCAGCUGUCCAGGUUCAAAAAACUCACAAUAAAAUGCUUUUGCAUUCAAGUUUACUAGAUUUGGAAGUAAAAGCCCUGUUCCAACCCCACUGCUUCCUGCUUCUUAGUUUCCCUGAGCUUCCAUCUCCUCCUCCACGAAUGGGAUCAUAACCUGCUCUUACCUAAUUUAUUUUGCAAAGAUGGAAAAGGAAAGUUCAAAUGAGGUAAUUAUGUGAAGAAAAAUGUUAUUUUAGGAUCCCGAGACUUUGUGUUUUUCAAUUAAUUAUAUUUGACGAUUGGAAUUACUUGGACUAGCCAUAGAAUUUCCCAGUUGCUAGGGGGAGCUUGAUGUCAUGAUGAUGUUGGUCUGUUACAGCUGAUGGUGGUUAAUUUCUCUCUUUCAGGGAGUCAGCAAAACCAUGGAAAUUUAGGCAUGGAUUUUGGAGUCAGAUAUGACGUGUGUUUGGGAGGCCUCGGACCAUUAACUCAGGCUCCCUGAGCCUGUUUCCUGUUCUGUAAAACGGGGAUAGUAAAGCCUACCUUGCAGGGCUGCUAAAAAAUUGGGAACAAUGUGUGUAAAGCACCAGACAUUGAGUUGGCCACGCAGUAAGCCCCGAAUCUAUGGUGGCUGUUAUUGUUAUAAGAGCAUCAAUUUUUAAAUAUUCUCCCUCGUCUCCCCACUCCCACAGUUCAUACAUAAAAGCACAAGGACGCGUGUUGCUUAGAAGCUCCUGAUCCACUGUUCUUCCAGUCCUUGGAAGAAUUUUCUAACUCAGUACACUAGGAGCAAGGCCAAUAUCUUAGAUGAUUCUGUUCUAGAAAGGUGCUUAAACACAGUCAAGAUAUAGUGUAGUUUUACCAAGAAAGCGGGACUUUGCUAUAAACUAUCACCCUGGAGACAAGACUGAAAAAAAAAAAUCAAGGCCACGUGCCUACCCACAGCAGGAGAAAUAUACAAAGUCAAGAUUUCUGUCAGCAUAUUAUGCUUCUGGUUGUUUACAUAAAAACAUGUCUUGGACAGUAAUUAUGCAUUUUUCAGAACUGGGCCAGCUCUGGGAAUGCAAAGCUGAGAGGCAGCAGUCACUGCGGUUACUUUCAGUUUCAACUGUCAGGUUGGGAGUUAGAGGGGCAUGGGUUUGAAUGCUAGUUUAGCACCAUAAGUGACCACUGGUCCACUGCUUACUAGCUAAGUGACGUGGUGCAAGCUGAUCAGUCUCUCGGAAAAUCAGUUUUUACAUUGGGAGUUGGAUAAAAACCAAGUGUCUGCUGCAGAGAAAAAAGAAUGAAUUUGGAAAAUGAAUUAAAGGGCCUGGGUCUGGCACAUGAUAGGUGUAGGUGUUUAGAAGAUGGUAAUAGUGGUUGUUAUUAGCAGCGAUGAGAUGAAGUCUUCAUCUUGGAGGAAUGCUCGGCAUAGCAGCAGAAAAAAUGUACGUGAAUAAAGUCCUGAAUAAAUUCAAAGUAUGUGUUCACAGUGCUUCAGUAUUAUGAAAGCAGAAAGGGUGAAGCCCAUGUGACGUGGAAAGAUCGAAGGGGGCUUCAAAGAGAAACAUUUGAGCCUCACCUUGAAAGAUGGGUAGAAAUUCUCCAAGAGGAAAGGGAGAGAAGAAGCACAAGGUGGCACAAGGGUACAGAGGAUGAGGCUUGGGCAGGGAUGUUGUCCUGUGUCUUGAGUUAGCAGUGUCACAUGGUUAAGAAUGGUGGGAGAUGAGGUGGAAAGACAGUGCUGCUCCAGGCUGGAAAUGGCUUUGUACACCCAAAUGGCGCUGACCUUGGUUUCUUGAGCAAGAGACAGCCAAUGAAGUUGUGUUGGGCGUCCUCCAUUUGCUCCUCCAGUCAGCCUUCACUUACCUCCAUUUGCUCCUGAACUAGGGGGCUGAGCUGUUGCGGACCACAUCAACGAGCUCCCUCCCGCUCAGGCUUCCAGUAGGUUUUGGCCAACGGAACACAGGGAAGAAAUCAAAAGGAAGACUGAGACUGGGGUAUAUAUUCUUUUGACAAAAGAUCACAGCAUCCAUCAGGCCGCCUUCCCACACAGCUCUCUCUUCCUGGGAUCCAUGAGCCUCUCUCCCAAGGCCUCCGACAGAGAGGUGGUGAAUGCACCUCACCGGUACUGGUACCAAGUAUGGAACCAUCAUAAGAGAUGGUUUACAAAUAGUCCUUUUAUUACCUCUUCUUAAAUUACCCAAUAUGAAGUACCAAACGUUUCCUGCCAGGCCCCUGACUGAUAUAUAACUUAAAUAGGGAAUAAAGUCAAUGUGUUUCUGGGGGAGGGCUAGGGCAGAGAGACCACGGCACUAACACCAGAAGACAUGAAGUCACAGGCCAUACAAUUUAUGUAAAGAACAAUGGUUUGUCUGUUCCUUUGUGGCUGCUAGUCUGGAACCACAUGGAGACAUGGCGUGGCUUCUUGGAGAGUGUCCUCAGCCUGGUCUCUAAGUGAGCCACUCAUGACGAGAUUGAAGGGUGACCCUGUGAAAUGCUGUUACCCAUCUCCAUGAGUGGACUGACUUCAAGAGGAAGGCCUUGAAAUAAGCCGUCUCAUGUCAAAUUGUUCUUCUUAUUAGGAUAGCUACAGAAGAUGGACAAAAGGUGGAAGUGUUGUGAGUGACUGAUGUGGCCGACUUAAGAAGAAAAGUCCCCUUUUCUAGGCCUGUUUUUCCUUUGCAAGGAACCAAUAGAGUUUCUCUUCUCCACCUUGGCCCUUCAUCUUACCCCAGGAAGGUAGGAACCGGCUACUCCCUCUCUUCCCACUGCUGUCCAUCCUGUGCUCUGGGAAGCACAGUUACUUUUUAUGGCUCUCCCCAGGGAGUUUGAAUUUUGAGCCUCAGCUUUAAUUAUGUAAUGAAAACAUAUGUUUCCUAUUGCAAGAAUUUUAGACAGCAGUGAGGAGGAGGGAGAGAUGGGGUGAGGCUGUGAGGGGAGAGAGGACUAAGUGACUUCCACUGAGCAGUAAUUACAGCGGAGAGUAGAAGACCAUUCGCAGACCUCCGAGGCUGAGCUGGAAGCAUUUCAUUCAAUAAUCAUUUAGCAUUGAGAGCUGUGUAUGCAGGGCACUGCCGAGCUUUGGGGAAAUACAAAGUGGAGUGGAAGGGGGAUAGUGUGAGAAGAGGGAUGAGACCUGUACACACAUGUGUGAGUAGGUGAAGGAACUAGGAUGCGGGUUUAGAAGACGAGAUGAGAUCAGGUUGCAGGAACUUGAUUAUAGAGACAGUAUUUGAAUCAGGUCUUGAAAGACGGGUAGACAUGGAAGUAGCAGGGGUUUUCUGGGCAGCCUUCCCCAUCCUUGCCACUUCCCUUGCCCUGCUCCCCCAAAGCAAUGAACCUGCUUCAUUGUGUUUAGAGAACAAGUUCAAAUAUUUGAUGAGUAAGUAUUACAUAGAUAAAAUUUAACCAGGAUAUGCUUCAGGGUGGUCUGUGACAAAUCAUAUUUUGCGUAGGCUUCUUCGCCUCAACCACACCAGCGGUAAAUAAAUAUUUGCUUCUAAUUACAGAAUUAAUACACAAAUAGUUUUUGAUCAUAAAAAGAUUCAAGCAUUAUAGGCAUAACAGAAGUUCUCUUUGAAAUCACCACCCCCAAACCCAUAUUUACGUCUAGAAGUAUAUUGUUCUGUGUGUGGGUCUGUGGUUGCGUAAUGGUAUCGUACUGUGUGUUCGUGCCACAGUCUGCAUUUAUUACUCAAUAUAUCUUGGAGCUCAUUCUGAGUGGCUUCACAGAGAUCUGCCCUCAUUCUUUGUAAUCCUACCUACAUUUGUUUGUUUCUCGGGAUAGUUUUGGAAACACUUUCCAUAACUCUUUUGGAAACUUUCCUUACAAUAAGAAUCACCCAGAAACAUUCAGAGCCCUCCCCAAGACUGGUUUUCCAUAGGAUUGGGAAGAAGGUUGGAGAAAUUAUUUGCAACCAACAUCCCAGGUGAGUUUAUUGUUCAGCAAGUCUGAAAACUCUAUCAUGGUUUAUUUAACCAUUUCCCUAACAAAGGACGUUUAAAUAGUUUGAAUGUUUUCUAUUACCAGCAACGCAGCAAUGCACAUCCUUUACAUCCUUCCUAGUGCGUGUGUAUUUUUCUGAGAUUGGUAACUGAGAAAUGGAAUUGGUGGGUCAUGUGGUGUGUGCACUUUAAGAUUGUAUUAGAUACUGCCAAAUUGCCUCCUAAUGUGGCUGUAGCAACGUGUGGUCUCAACACUGUAUCAUUAACAUGUGUUUUUCUUAUAUUAAAAAACGAACUACAUUCUAGCUUUCCUCACAUCCUAACAUCAAGUUUUCCCAGAACUCAUCACCAUAUCCCGCCUCUCUCAAUCUGUGCUUUACUGUUCCAGUUAAGGGAACUGAAGCCCACCCAGAUACUCAAGCCCAAAAUCUGGGCGUCUUCUUCAGUUCCUCUUAUUCUUCUCACCCCCCAGCACUAAUUGGCCACAAAGCUUUAGCAAUUUUCCCACUUUACUAUCUGUAGACUCCUGGAUGUCUACCAUCACUACUUAAUUCAAUUCUGUCUUGUUUUUUUUUCAUCUUAGACAAUAUAAUAAACUCCUCAUGCUCUUGCUUCCCUUCCCUCCUAAAACUCAUACAUGUUAAUUAUAUCAGCUCACUGAUUACAACUCUUCAAUGUCUACCAGUUGCCACCAAAGUCAACCUCACACUUAAGAAUUUGCAAAGAAUAUAAAAUCACCACCUUUUGCAGGUGGACUUAUCAAAGUCCUGCUCAAUGGAAUUGUUAUCUAUGAAGAACUUUUUUGAAGGAUAUGCAGCCUAUCCAUUCUUCUAGCUAUUCUAGAUUUUAUUCAUUGAAAAAUCAUAAACAAUAUUUGGUGCAUGCUAUUGUGGUUCCUUGUAGAACUGCUUUCUAUGAGUUCUUGUUUGCUUUAUGUCUUCCUUUGAAGAAGCACCGCAAAAAACUGUAUACCUACAAAAUCUAGAACAAUGCAUUAUUUACAUAAAUAUUGUCAUAUGCAUGUAUGUAUAUCUACACACACAUACACACACACACACACUCAUAUCAAAUUGAAACCCAAUAGGAAAAAUCCAAACUUAGUCAUCUGCCCCAGGAUGUCUUUUCUGGUUAUUUUUACCUACUAUACAUUAUGUAAUCCCAGACCUACUUACUCUUCCCUGCAUGAGCCAAGCCUUUUUAUGCCUCUGUGCUGUAUCUUCUGCCUAGGAUCCUUCCCCCACUCACCUCUUAUUAAACUAAGGAACUCUAACUCAGCCGAAAGACCAACUCAAAUUCACUCCGGGUAAGCUGAGUCGCUCCUUCCUCUGGGUUCCCAUUGUAUGUGAAUAUAUAUGUAUAUGUAUAUGAAGCACGUUGUAUAUGAAUCUUAGCACUUCUCACAUUCCUUUGCAGUUGUGUUUUUAAUGAAUCUACCCUCUCUUCUAGAUUGUGUAUUUCCCUAAGGCAUGGUAUACCUGUCUUCUUCAUCUUUAUAUUCCUCAUAUUGCCAAAUGGAAAAUGUGGAACCUCAUAUGCACAGUAGUUGUUUAACAAAUAUUUAUUUAAAAAAUGAAUAUUUAGCCCUAGGUCUUUUUGCUAUAAAGCAGUGGCAACUUCUUUUAAUCUUCCUUCCAUUCAUUGCAGCAACCUGCAGCCCCUGAAAUGGCCGUGACUGCCCCAACGAUCAAAACUUCUGUGGACAGCUGUGAAUGCAGAAGAGAAGACUGACCUGAGAAGGACAUUUUGUCCCCUGACUGUUGGUACAGAAUACCUGUGGCAGGAUGAGUGUGUCCAGAGGACACAGCCUGCCAUGUCUGAGGCUAUCCUUCUGCCUAGCAGCCUGGGUUGUGGGGUAAGAGCUGAGGCUGGAUUGGGGAAAUUGGAAUACACUAUACCUUUUUUCCUUUUGACAGUGCAACCUCUUCCUAGGGAAGGCUCAAAAACCUUGGAUAUCAUAUCAUUCCACAAAAGGAAAGUUUGCUGAGUUUGUUUUUAAUAUAUCAGAAACAUAUGUAUUAAAUUCCGUUAAAAUGCAGAGAACUUUUUAGUAUCAUAGAACUUAGUAAAUAUUUUCCACUUUAAAGUUGUGUCCUUUGACAAGUCAGAGAACACGUCUUUGGUUUCUGUCCCGUAUAUGAGAUAAAUACCACAAAUGUGUUUUGGAAAAGAAAGCAAAUUUAAAAAAGGAAAUAAAGCAAGCCAAAGACCCAUCACAAUUACUACAACAGAAUGAAGAACAAUUGGGUGUAGCAAGAAGGAACUCUUCCUUAGAUCCUAGUAGAUGUGCCGUGGGUAUGGUAAAAGCAUAACGAAACUAGCAAUUUCCACUGGACACUGUGGAGGGGAUGGGGAGAGAAAGGGAGAGGGAGGAUGGUGCCUGCUGACUGGAAAGGCCUUACUCCUGCCCUUGGGUUAAGGCUUCCUGGGAGGCCUUCACAUACCACCAAGGAGUUCCAUCCAGGGAUUAUCCAGUUUCCCAUGAUGAUGUUUAAUUUGGAGGUUUUCUCAAUUUUUGAGCCUGAGUCUCUGUUUAUGACUGAGUUCGUGCCAAAUUGUGUUACUUUCCCUGUACCUGGCUAACAGGAGAAGAUCGUUAGUAGACCUGACACAUAAGAGACACGCUAGCAGCAUGCAAAGGCCGAGGAGUUGCACAGGCAGCUGUGGAAGGAGGAUUCACAGAGAAGCAGUAAGAAAUUGGGUCAUCAACCAGCACUCAGUGGCUUGGGCAUGGGGACCCACGAGAACCUGCUGUAGCCUAUGCUCUUGAAGGGCUGAGAUUCAGUUUCAGCAAAACGUCACCAGCUGUCACAUUACGUUAGUGUUCAUUUGAAUUGCACUGGUUUUGUGAUUUCGUUUUCAUUUAAAGUUAUUCUUACUUUAUUGUUGCCUAAGUUGUAUGUAUAUAAGGAGCUAAUAUAUAAAAAUCAUAUUAUAGUAUUUAAACGACAUAAUAAAAAUAGUCUAAGUCAACACUGGA
Molecule: long non-coding RNA, 9679 nt
Organism: Equus asinus (donkey)
Lineage: Eukaryota; Metazoa; Chordata; Mammalia; Perissodactyla; Equidae
Source: Ensembl